This is a long non-coding RNA of Tribolium castaneum (red flour beetle), 3779 nucleotides long. RefSeq lists it as uncharacterized. The record is from RefSeq and is a predicted model, not a curated record. The transcript is spliced from 2 exons. NCBI's taxonomy places the organism in Eukaryota, Metazoa, Arthropoda, Insecta, Coleoptera, Tenebrionidae.
GUAUAGAAUGUUACUUCUGGGCCAGAACAUUUGGCGUCUUAAAAAACAAGUCAGAACCUUACAAAUUUAGCUGUUUGGCCAAAAGCAAACAACCGAAUAGGGCCUAAAACCUCUCAAAAAUCAUUAAUUUUUAUCCACUCCAAAAGUUCCCAAAUAUAUGUAGGCCACCAAAAAUUGGGCACACGAAAAACAGGGUAAAAUGCUACAAAUACACUCUAAAAAACUAACAAAAUACCUUGUUUUUACACACCCCAAAAUGGCUUUUUACUUCUGGGCCAGAACAUUUGGCGUCUUAAAAAACAAGUCAGAACCUUACAAAUUUAGCUGUUUGGCCAAAAGCAAACAACCGAAUAGGGCCUAAAACCUCUCAAAAAUCAUGAAUUUUUAUCCACCCCAAAAGUUCCCAAAUAUGUGUAGGCCACUAAAAGUUGGGCACACGAAAAACAGGGUAGAAUCCUACAAAUUUACUGUUUUCCCAAAAGUAACCAUCCGAAAAAGAUGUAAAAAACUUACAAAAUGCCUUGAUUUUAGACACUCCAAAAAUAGCUUUUCAUUUCUGGACCAAGCCAAUUGGCGCAUGCAAAAAUCAAGUAAAAUUACCUCAAAACCAUUGUCAAAAUGUCUAGAUUUCACACACCUCAAAACAGCUUUUCAUUUCUGGACCAAACCUAUUGGCGCAUGGAAAAAAUCAAUGAAAUACAACUUAAAGCGACUUAAAAUUUUCGACACUCCAAGUAAAAUUACUUUAAAAACCAGGAAAAACCUUUAUAAAUUCCCUAGUUUUUAGAUACCCCAAAAAUAUAGCUUUUCAUUUCUGGACCAAGCCAAUUGGCGCAUGGCAAAGGUGUUAAAAAUUAUUACCAAAUACAUUUUGCAUACCCCAACUGUAUUCAACUAUUAUACGCACAUAAAAGAGAUACACGUAAUACGCUCGAUCGUGCAGCGCUUAAUUUAAUAACGAAUAACGCAUUUAGACUUUUGAGCGUUUUUAUUAAACAGAAGAGGGUCGAUGGUCUAGCGUUGGUAUCCUUCAAAAAUAUGCUGACACAUCGGCCUACUCGUUUAAAAAACGGAUUAACUGUAAAAGCAUUUUUUUUCGUUAUAGAAAUUGUUCUUAUUCUUAUUGUAGUAUUCAACGAUAGGCAACCAACAAUGUCAUUAUUGUUAGGUAGUUAUAAUUUGUUUUUGUAACACAACUUACUAAAUUUGAAGUUUUUUUUUAAUUUUGUAAUUGUGAUAUUAAAAAGCUUGGAUAUUUUUAUAAUAAAGUUUAAUGCAAAACGAUAUAAAUGCGAUAUAAUUGAUAUAAGUAUUAACUUCCCUAUCGGGAAAGUUAAAAAUAAACAAAGGCAUAAAAAUGUAUAAUUUGUAAAUACAAAUUUAUAACAAACUAGUGAUGUGAGUCUGAUACUUAUGAUGCUGAUACAUGAUACGUUUACUAAACUAAUCUGUCAAAGGGAAAAUAAGGAAACAAAUAUAAAAUAUAUUUUUGAAAGUUUAUCAGUUUUUUCCAUCUUAAUUAAUCGGCUUUUGUUGAUGCAAUAAUUUAGAACACAUACAUUAGAGUGCAUAGUGAUAAAAGCAUGGGACGUCACAAGCACAUAGUGUGGAAAUAUUUUAGAAGAUACAAAAAGGAUAAAUAUAUUUAUAUUUUGUAAAAAAAACUUUUAUUGCAAAUCCACUAGGGAUGGAAAACCACUGUCAAGCACCUGCCGAAGUAAAAAGUUUGUUUGAAAAAAAUUUGAAAAAUACACAAAAAAACUGUAAAAAGGUACAGGUAACAUCUAGCAUUGCUAGUAGUACUAGUAUGCAUCAGCAUCAGCAAUAAGCAUUGGAAAUUUUUUAGACAAGAUGACAAAAGAGGAAAACAUCAAAGCUAAUAUUUUACUAGCACGAGCAAUGUUUGAUACCUGUUCACCGUUGUCAUUGGUGGAAAACAAAUAUUUCCAAAAAUUUCUUAAUUAUUUGCAUCCAUCAUACGAUCCACCAUCCAGAUUUCAAUUAUCAACAAGUCUAGGUGUUCAGUAAAAUAACUAAAAUAAGUAAUAUAUUAAUAUUGAUCUAUUUUUUAGUAAUUUUAUAAUUUUAUACUAUGUAUUUGGUAUUAAAUUAAAGGGACAAUUGCAGAAAAAUAAAAAAUUAGCAAUUUGUGACUUUUUUUUAACAAAAACUGAAAGAUAAGUAUCAUAAUAUUUAUCUUGAUAUAUAUCAGCAUAAAAUAAAUAGCAUGCUACUUUACAACACUAUAACAAACAUUAGGUUCACCUCUCCAUCAACAUACUACUCUCCAAUGUUUACAAUAUCAAUAAUUUCAUUUAUUAACUUUAAAUACAUAACAUUUCUAGGUAAGUUCAAACAUUGCAGCAACACUGUUUUUUAAUAAGUAAAUUUAUGUCACCUCUUUUAUAUUUAUAAAUUAAUUUUGUAUUUUACACCCUUGACGAAAAGUUGGCAUGAAAUAAUUUUGUUUGUUUUACACCACCCGAUAAACUAAUUAGACCAAAUAAUACCAAGACCAAUAAAACUACAAAAUUUUCCUAAACAGAAUUCCUGAAAGAAAAUAAUAAAAUUCCCUGACUUUUUACACAUUUUACGUAAUAAAUUAUAUGUUCUUCAGUCUUAAUAAAAAUCAAUAAAUUGAUUUUCAAUAUCAAUACCAAACGAUACGAUCGAACAAAUACGACUUUUUAAAUUAAGUGUGUUAUGUUCUUCUGCUCUGAGAAUUGGGCACGUUUCAACAACUUUUAGUCUCUCUAAAAACUGUAUCGCGGAAUUUUCAGAUGAAUGGCGCCAAUCUGGUUGUAUCUUGUCAAAAAUUAUCAGCUCCAUUGUUCUUCCAGCUUCUAAGUUUAUACUUGGAAAUACAAGGUCUUGUUGCCUUUCAGCAAUAUUUCCGGAUGGAGUUGACCAGUUAAAAUUUCCAUCCAUCAUUCGCCCCAAAUAAUGGGCACACUCAUGUGCUGCGAGUGUUACUGCAUCAGCUUCAAAGUUUUUUGUGCCUGGGACUUCAGCCAAUUGACCUUUGCAUAUUAGAAUACCAUCUAUAAGACAUGCCCCACGUAAACCUGCCAGUGGUUUAAAAUUAUCAAGGGUGUAAAUUUGCAUCUUCUCAAUUUUAACUUUGAUCCAUUCAGCAGUGCAGGAGAAUCCCAUAAUGUCAUUCAAACAAGUUUGAAAACCAGACCGUAUAGAGGGACUCAACAAUGCAGUACGAACCACUUGUAUUUCCUCUUCAGAGGUGACUUUUAUCACGUUAUAUGCUUCUUCUUGCUGUGCCUUUAAUACAAACUCUUUAAUCAGAGAAUCAAAGUAAUUAUCAAUGUUCGUCUUAGUACCACUUGGCCUUUUAUCAAAAUUACUUGAAUAGGUUUCGUACACUUGAUGAACGUUUAAUUUGGUAUAAUGAACCAAAACUUGUAGGUAUAUUUUUUUUACAGAAUUGCUAAAAUCAUCCUCUAAAAAGGAAAUGAUGUCCCUACUUGUCUCGGGACAUAUGUACAACCCCUGUUGCAUAAUGUUGUAUAAAACACAAUUUCUUAAUGAAUCCACGUGCAACUCGUGCAUGUUACAGCUGACUGGUGUAUGCGGAGACCUAUUCUUUAGAAACUGAACGAGGUUGAAGCUUUCCUGUCCAAUGUUUGAUCUGACCGAUUCAAAGUAAUCCAUCUGGGUAAUGUUGGUAUAAGCAAUCUGAAAGCCAACAGAAAUAUGUUAAAUGUCAUGUUUAGUGUUUGAGCUUAAUAAUGUAUGUUUAUCUAAUACUCUACAUCAAAUUUUAA